AAUCUUCCACAAUGGACGGAAGUCUGACGGAGCAACGCCGCGUGAGCGAAGAAGGUUUUCGGAUCGUUAAGCUCUGUUGUAAGGGAAGAACACGUACGGGAGUCACUGCCCUUCCCUUGACGGUACCUUCCCAGAAAUCCACCGCUACCUACGUGCUCGCCGCCGCGGUAAUAGGUAGGUGGCAAGCGUUGUCCGGAAUUAUUGGGCGUAAAGCGCGCGCAGGCGGUGCUUUGAGUCUGAUGUGAAAGACCACGGCUCAAACGUGGAGGGUCAUUGGAAACUGGAGGACUUGAGUACAGAAGAGGAAAGCGGAAUUCCACGUGUAGAGGUGAAAUGCGUAGAGAUGUGGAGGAACACCAGUGGCGGAGACGGCUUUCUGGUCUGUAACUGACGCUGAGGCGCGAAAGCGUGGGGAGCAAACAG
This 423-nucleotide ribosomal RNA is filed under the name uncultured bacterium. RNAcentral's name for it is "partial 16S ribosomal RNA". It matches the Rfam family "Bacterial small subunit ribosomal RNA", at positions 360 to 775 of the family's 1533-position model. The record is from RNAcentral.